GGAUGGGUGCCCGAGUGGUUGAAGGGACCGGUCUUGAAAACCGGCGACGGUUAACGCCGUCCGUGGGUUCGAAUCCCACCUCAUCCG
RNAcentral lists this transfer RNA (87 nucleotides) under Thermoguttaceae bacterium. Its description in RNAcentral is "tRNA-Ser". It matches the Rfam family "tRNA". From Rfam's summary of the family: Transfer RNA (tRNA) molecules are approximately 80 nucleotides in length. Their secondary structure includes four short double-helical elements and three loops (D, anti-codon, and T loops). RNAcentral also lists the same sequence under 1 other name. The record is from RNAcentral. Lineage: Bacteria; Pseudomonadati; Planctomycetota; Planctomycetia; Pirellulales; Thermoguttaceae.